GAUGAACGCUGGCGGCGUGCCUAAUACAUGCAAGUCGAGCGAACGGACGAGAAGCUUGCUUCUCUGAUGUUAGCGGCGGACGGGUGAGUAACACGUGGAUAACCUACCUAUAAGACUGGGAUAACUUCGGGAAACCGGAGCUAAUACCGGAUAAUAUUUUGAACCGCAUGGUUCAAAAGUAAAAGACGGUCUUGCUGUCACUUAUAGAUGGAUCCGCGCUGCAUUAGCUAGUUGGUAAGGUAACGGCUUACCAAGGCAACGAUGCAUAGCCGACCUGAGAGGGUGAUCGGCCACACUGGAACUGAGACACGGUCCAGACUCCUACGGGAGGCAGCAGUAGGGAAUCUUCCGCAAUGGGCGAAAGCCUGACGGAGCAACGCCGCGUGAGUGAUGAAGGUCUUCGGAUCGUAAAACUCUGUUAUUAGGGAAGAACAUAUGUGUAAGUAACUGUGCACAUCUUGACGGUACCUAAUCAGAAAGCCACGGCUAACUACGUGCCAGCAGCCGCGGUAAUACGUAGGUGGCAAGCGUUAUCCGGAAUUAUUGGGCGUAAAGCGCGCGUAGGCGGUUUUUUAAGUCUGAUGUGAAAGCCCACGGCUCAACCGUGAAGGGUCAUUGGAAACUGGAAAACUUGAGUGCAGAAGAGGAAAGUGGAAUUCCAUGUGUAGCGGUGAAAUGCGCAGAGAUAUGGAGGAACACCAGUGGCGAAGGCGACUUUCUGGUCUGUAACUGACGCUGAUGUGCGAAAGCGUGGGGAUCAAACAGGAUUAGAUACCCUGGUAGUCCACGCCGUAAACGAUGAGUGCUAAGUGUUAGGGGGUUUCCGCCCCUUAGUGCUGCAGCUAACGCAUUAAGCACUCCGCCUGGGGAGUACGACCGCAAGGUUGAAACUCAAAGGAAUUGACGGGGACCCGCACAAGCGGUGGAGCAUGUGGUUUAAUUCGAAGCAACGCGAAGAACCUUACCAAAUCUUGACAUCCUUUGACAACUCUAGAGAUAGAGCCUUCCCCUUCGGGGGACAAAGUGACAGGUGGCGCAUGGUUGUCGUCAGCUCGUGUCGUGAGAUGUUGGGUUACGUCCCGCAACGAGCGCAACCCUUAAGCUUAGUUGCCAUCAUUAAGUUGGGCACUCUAAGUUGACUGCCGGUGACAAACCGGAGGAAGGUGGGGAUGACGUCAAAUCAUCAUGCCCCUUAUGAUUUGGGCUACACACGUGCUACAAUGGACAAUACAAAGGGCAGCGAAACCGCGAGGUCAAGCAAAUCCCAUAAAGUUGUUCUCAGUUCGGAUUGUAGUCUGCAACUCGACUACAUGAAGCUGGAAUCGCUAGUAAUCGUAGAUCAGCAUGCUACGGUGAAUACGUUCCCGGGUCU
RNAcentral lists this ribosomal RNA (1372 nucleotides) under uncultured bacterium. Its description in RNAcentral is "bacterial SSU rRNA". It matches the Rfam family "Bacterial small subunit ribosomal RNA", at positions 28 to 1381 of the family's 1533-position model. The record is from RNAcentral.